Non-coding RNA from Coturnix japonica (Japanese quail), 1649 nucleotides. The record is from RefSeq and is a predicted model, not a curated record. Lineage: Eukaryota; Metazoa; Chordata; Aves; Galliformes; Phasianidae.
GUGGCGGGGCGGGUGUGGGGGUGUUAGUUCCGCUGCUGUUCCGAAGUGCAGGGUCGGUGAGAUGCUGCUUGUCAGCGGUCAUUAUCUUGAUUUCAGAACCUACUGUUGUUACUCCUGGAUUGCCCACUUGGCGUAUAUCUGAAGGUCAGCUUUCCUCCUGUGGUAACGCCUAAAUGCCUGAGCAGCGUUUCUGGAUGCCUUCACUGCAGCCUGUCCUCGGCUUCACCUGUGUUACGGACCUUCCGCACUGCAGUGCUGCUAUCCCUGUUUAGCCGACUCAAUCUCUUGAUGGAUUUGCUUGUUUCCCAGUGUCAGUAGGUGCCUCCAUUACAGUUUGAAGAGAUUGUUUUCACAGCUCGACUGUCAGCUUCUCUGAGCUCCUUUGCUUUUCAGAGCUGCUUCCAAUGGGACCCCACAUCCUGGCUGCCAAAAUGAAGUCCAGGGUCUGUUCUGUGUUACACAUCUUCCUCACACCUCUUAGCAUCUCAAAUUCCACUAUUUUCUGGUCACUGCUGAGGCCACCAUUGACUAUCACACACAAAACCACUUAUUUGUGAACAGUAAAGGCAGAACUGCUGCAUCUCUGUUCCAGUUUAAAAAUGUAUUGACUGACUACGUGGAAACAGCUUAGCUGUGGAAUGCUCACACCACCUAGUUCCACCCUUUUCAAGUACACUACGCUGACACCAAGUCUAACCUGGAGCUGUUUUCACCUUGUUCUCAAGGUGCUGUGUGCUCUGGCAGCAUUGUGCUCUGGCAGCUGCCACCUGGCUAAUGUGUAGCCACUGGUUAUACAUAUAUGAAAUAACAAGCGUUAGUCACUCUUCUCUACAUUUUUGCCAGUUUUUUGCCUUUUUGGUUAUGGCUUUAUUCCUUCAUGUAUCAUCCAGAAUAAUUUUCUACAUGUUCAGCGUGCUGGUACACAGUGAAAGGAAUUAAAAUACUCUUGUCAGGAAAAGCUCCUUUAUGUAACAGUGUUUUCACUCUGCUGGUAGCAUUCACUGUGGCUUCAAGGCUCCCCAAGCCUUGGUGACAGCCUUUGGUAGCAGCUUCAGCAUUGCUCAGUUGCACCUUCACUGUUUGUAAUGUCACAAGCAUACAGGAAGUAGAAGAUUGCACAAUAUUUGACUCAGUGUAAAUUGCUGUAGAUAAGUCAUAUAUUGAUUGAUACUACUGGAAAAAAAAUCCUGGAAAAUGGAAAUUUUAACCUUUCCAUUGUGUGAUUUUUGGACAAGUAACAUAAAUGGUCAGGAAAAAUAAAAUCUGUCCUUUGCUGCUGUGUAGUUGUUGUAUGAAGUAUCGAUUAGGAAGUUAUUGAAAAGUAUGUAAUCAGGCAGAAAUUCUUUUCAGCGUUGCUGGGAUUGAUGCAUAUUAAGAUGCUGGCAGUGGUGCUUUAUAAUCUGAUGAUUAUAUUACCCUUUCUCCUAUCUCUGCACAGGCCUUGUGAAUUUUUUAGCUGAUGUUUUAAUAAAACAUCAACGUAUUUUUUGUGUGAUGUUAAAAUAAACAGAAAAGAUGCCUCGGAAAUCUCUGAAAAUAAGCUGGACUACUGUCAUAAGAGGUGAAUGUAUUGUGUUUGAAGCUUGACUGUACUGAGUCAACAUAGCAUUAUUAAGAUGAAUUAAAGGGACUAUUAUUAGUCACUGUUA